UUCACGUUGCUGUGUAGCAGAAACCAACACAAAAUUGUGAAGCAAUUUUUCACCAAUUGAAAAAUAAAAGCUAAAAAAAUAGGAAGUCUUGGGCAAGGGAGCCUGGGAAAAAUAGUUAUAGAUUUAUACCUUAGCUUCAACCUUAGCUUUGUAAACCUAAGCUUCUAGCUUAGAUUUAGAUGGAGAAGGAUAGAUGCAGGGUUGAGAGAGAGGAGGUAACUAGCCUGUUUCAUUAAAUUCACUAGAUUUUUUCUGGUGAUCAAGGAGAUUCAGAAGCUUACUUGAAGACCUUUAUACCAGCAAGUUGUAGACCUAACUAUUCAAGCUCAGGCUUGCCAACUCAGAGUGUAAUGUAUACUCCCAGGGCCACACUCCAUCUCUCUCUUAGUGUGCUCACCUUCCCAGUGGGGCUCCAGGGUCAGGUGGUAAGAAUGUUCAUCUCUACUUGUCUUUAAGGGCAUAAUAAGGAUUAAAUUAGAUUACACACCUAAAAAAGCCCUUGUUAGUCACCAAUACAACCCACAAAUGAAAACCAGUAUUGUUAUUUGUAAAUAAUUUUUGCAGAAAUAUCUAUAAACAGAAGUCCAAGAUUAAAGUGAGAUUUUUAUUACCAACCUUUUCAAGUCGAGCCUCAACAAAGGUCCUCUUGCUACCCCCGCCCCGCCAACCCCACCUCCUGUUGUUUGAGCCAAUAGAGCAAGGGCAGGUCUGGUUCCGAAACAGAGGAAGGUUUUUUGCUUUGUGCAGAGGAUGGAGAGGUGGGAGUUCCCACUCUGGAGCAAAUGCUCUUCCCGCAGGGCUGCGGUGGGGUGGGGACAUGGCUGCUGUAAGGAUAACUUCAGAAUGUGUGAGAGGGGGCAGGGUUCCCCCCGAGCUGGCGCAGCUGUAGCUACGCAGGCUCCAGACAGCAGUGCGGGAGCAGCGUCUCUGCGCACGGCCCACUGCUGCUGGCGGGAGCAGCGUCUCUGCACACGGCCCACUGCUGCUGGCGCCACCUUGGAUCCGGGCGUCCUGGUAGCUCACCAAGCUGACGAGUUCUGGAGUGCUGGGUGUGAGGCUUCUGCAUGUGACCCCACUAUGAGCAAGUCGAAGUAGUUGAAGCACAAACGAUAAAGAGCACAUAGGCUAAUAAGAGGAACAGAUGGAUAUUUAUGAGAUGUUAUGUGGCCAGUGAGAAGAGAUCCUGCAAUAGCCAACUUUCCCUUGGCCCCCAUCUCCACUCCAUGAGGUCUCGAAGACAUAGAUACAAAGGCCAGAGAAGUUUGCUGACCCUUGCAAUGAAGAAUGGUUUUGGUGACACUCUGCUCCCCUGACUAGAUAUCUGGUGCUGAGAUGAGGUACCUGUUCAAAGCCAACAAGCACAGGUGGGCUAAUCACUCCUGAAGAUUAUUGGCACGCUACUGAAUGUGAUGGGACUGGAUCUUGGUCCAAAACAGACCCACACUUGGAGGUAUUCAAGUCUAAGGUGAUCUCAGAAGCUGUAUAUUGAAGAUGGCAGAGUCUCUGUGAGCCCCAGUCCUGGAAGUCACACAUUUCAGAGAACUUCAGGCAAGAAUGGUGAUGAAUGUAGCUUGGGACAAAGAUGCCUUCACUUUGAUUCCAAGGCCUGCUGACUGUUGAAAAGAAGGGAGACCUCCACAUGGAAAAAGGGGCCUUCCAACUGUAAGUGCAGAAACAUUCUUUGAUUUCACAGAAUGUGUGGAAACAGAAGGUCAGCCUGACAAUCUCUGAAUAUUGAAAGUUUGCUGUGGCCACAGCAAGACAGGAAGGCUGUAUUGCAGAUGUGGAUUUGCACUGUAUACAUGUGUAUCAACAUGCUGAUGGGUCCACAUUCCAGCUGAAAUGCUAAAGCCAAUAUCUACCACUGGCACUUCUAGAUUAACUGCCAAGAGCCAUUGCCGUUAACACCUACCCCCAAAUGCCCAGUAGGUUAUGUCUUUCCCAGAAGAACUGAACUCAAAGCACAAUUUCCAAGAAUGCUAUUACCAAAGGAAUGGGGACUUUUAACCAACUAUAAACUGUAGAGGUGUGGAACCUGAGAGACUCAAGAAUUUGAGUGUUUGUGAAGUAUUGUAAACAGUUCAGUGACUCAGUCGUGUCCAAAUCUUUGAGACCCCAUGGACUGCAGCACGCCAGGCCUCCCUGUCCAUCACCAUCUCCUGGGAACCCAAAAUAUGACACCCAGCAACCUGACAUGUUACAUGGAGGAAAAGAUGGAGAGGCAGAGGCCAAUACAAUAUUGUAAAGCAAUUAUCCUCCAGUAAGCAAAAGAAGAUGCAGAGGUUGGUAUUCUUAACAUAAAAGGCAAGCUAUGCCUAACAGAAGAGAGAAGCUGAACAUAAAAAGAAGUCCCUAAAACUUCUAAUUGAGAGCUUUAAAGUACUAGAUCAGCCUUGGGUAGAGAGGACUUGUAUUACCUUUUAGCUACCACCUCCAUGUACUUGAAAGACUAGCCCUGGUCCCAACCAAAAAGUAGAAGUGACUAUCACAUAUUAAAAAUGGAUGGGAAAGGUCUUAGAUUUCCCUGUACUGUUGGCACAGUCCCAGAUAAAAUGCCUUCCAAAAAUGUGAAACCAAGCCUCUUUGAUCACAAAGCCUCAAGGUGCUGGAGGCAGAUAAAAUGUCAAUAUGAAUGAUGGGUUUAUACUUAUAUAAAAUGGCAAAUAAAAAGGAGACAUCAUUAAUUCAUUAAACAAUUUUUAUCUUAUAUUGGUCUUCUAAGACUUUCCGAAAAAAGAGAAAACACUUUUAAACUCAAUUCCCCAUUACAGAGGUGAACAUAUCUCCCCCAAACCAAAGUGUAGGUGGAGUCUCUGAAGCCUGCUCUUCCUGCACAGACCCCCGUAACUCCUUGUUUACCUGGACUGUGACAGUGCGUCCAAAACCCAGAUGACCCAAGAUGACCUAGACAGCUAUCCCGACGAAUAAAACUUUUGUGGAAUGCCA
Bubalus bubalis (water buffalo) is the source of this 2946-nucleotide long non-coding RNA. RefSeq lists it as uncharacterized. The transcript has 9 exons. Lineage: Eukaryota; Metazoa; Chordata; Mammalia; Artiodactyla; Bovidae. The record is from RefSeq and is a predicted model, not a curated record.